GACGAACGCUGGCGGCGUGCUUAACACAUGCAAGUCGAACGGAAAGGCCCUGCUUUUGUGGGGUGCUCGAGUGGCGAACGGGUGGGUAACACGUGAGUAACCUGCCCUUGACUUUGGGAUAACUUCAGGAAACUGGGGCUAAUACCGGAUAGGAGCUCCUGCUGCAUGGUGGGGGUUGGAAAGUUUCGGCGGUUGGGGAUGGACUCGCGGCUUAUCAGCUUGUUGGUGGGGUAGUGGCUUACCAAGGCUUUGACGGGUAGCCGGCCUGAGAGGGUGACCGGCCACAUUGGGACUGAGAUACGGCCCAGACUCCUACGGGAGGCAGCAGUGGGGAAUAUUGCACAAUGGGCGGAAGCCGGAUGCAGCAACGCCGCGUGCGGGAUGACGGCCUUCGGGUUGUAAACCGCUUUCGCCUGUGACGAAGCGUGAGUGACGGUAAUGGGUAAAGAAGCACCGGCGAACUACGU
Molecule: ribosomal RNA, 467 nt
Filed under: uncultured bacterium
Lineage: Bacteria
Description: partial 16S ribosomal RNA
Rfam family: Bacterial small subunit ribosomal RNA
Source: RNAcentral